Molecule: ribosomal RNA, 213 nt
Filed under: Triticum aestivum (bread wheat)
Lineage: Eukaryota; Viridiplantae; Streptophyta; Magnoliopsida; Poales; Poaceae
Description: partial small subunit ribosomal RNA
Source: RNAcentral
AUGAUGGAUGUUGCAGGUUCAUUGAUGACAUCCAAGGGUACAUUCUCGGAAACGACUACAUCUUGCUCCAUGUUGUCGGGUCAACUAAAGUCCUUAAUCAUGAGGAGAUGGGACACGUCGAUUGUUAGAGUACACUUGACAGAUGCAUUUUGUGAAAUUCUAGCCAAAAGAUUGAUAGCAUGCUUGCCUGCUUGUUCUUUUCAGUUCAAAUAA